UUGCACUGCUGAUAAAUGAUCUCUCCUGCGCUUGACUAGCUUAGCUAUGUAGAGCUGAACUUCAGUCCUGAAGAUCAGGACGGCUGCCUUGGUAGGUGCCCAAGA
This is a non-coding RNA of Lonchura striata (white-rumped munia), 105 nucleotides long. Lineage: Eukaryota; Metazoa; Chordata; Aves; Passeriformes; Estrildidae. The record is from RefSeq and is a predicted model, not a curated record.